UGGACAAAUUAUUGUAUUCGACUGUAUUCACGGUGUGAAACAAGGGAUUACAAUUUUUUAAACGGAAAGUGAAUCAAUUAACAUAAUAGACUCCU
This 95-nucleotide microRNA precursor is filed under the name Nicotiana sylvestris (wood tobacco). RNAcentral describes it as "MIR6152 microRNA precursor family". It matches the Rfam family "MIR6152 microRNA precursor family". Lineage: Eukaryota; Viridiplantae; Streptophyta; Magnoliopsida; Solanales; Solanaceae. The record is from Rfam by way of RNAcentral. RNAcentral also lists the same sequence under 1 other name.